RNAcentral lists this ribosomal RNA (497 nucleotides) under uncultured bacterium. Its description in RNAcentral is "partial 16S ribosomal RNA". It matches the Rfam family "Bacterial small subunit ribosomal RNA", at positions 28 to 507 of the family's 1533-position model. The record is from RNAcentral.
GAUGAACGCUGGCGGCGUGCCUAAUACAUGCAAGUCGAGCGAAAAGACGGGGAGCUCGUUCUCUUGAGGGUAGCGGCGGGCGGGCGAGUAACACGUGGAUAAGCAACCAAUAUUACGGGGGUAACUUCGGAAGACCGGAGACAAUACCGGAGAAUAUAUUGAACCGCAUGGUGCAAUAGUGAAUGGCAGAUUUGGUGUCAGAUAUAGAUGGUUCCGGGCCGCAUUAGCUAGUUGGUAAGGUAACGGCAUACCAAGGCAACGAUGCGUAGCCGACCUGAGAGGGUGAUCGGCCACACUGGAACUGAGACACGGUCCAGACUCCUACGGGAGGCAGCAGUAGGGAAUCUUCCGCAAUGGGCGAAAGCCUGACCCAGCCACACCGCGUGAGUGAUGAAGGUCUUCGGAUCGUAAAGCUCUGUUAUUAGGGAAGAACAACUGCGUAUGUAUCUCCGGCCGUCCUGACGGUACCUAAAGAGUAAGCACCGGCUAACUACGUG